AGCGAACGCUGGCGGCAGGCUUAACACAUGCAAGUCGAGCGGGCACUUCGGUGUCAGCGGCAGACGGGUGAGUAACACGUGGGAACGUACCCUUUGGUUCGGAAUAACGCUGGGAAACUAGCGCUAAUACCGGAUACGCCCUUUUGGGGAAAGGCUUGCUGCCGAAGGAUCGGCCCGCGUCUGAUUAGCUAGUUGGUGGGGUAAUGGCCUACCAAGGCGACGAUCAGUAGCUGGGCUGAGAGGAUGAUCAGCCACACUGGGACUGAGACACGGCCCAGACUCCUACGGGAGGCAGCAGUGGGGAAUAUUGGACAAUGGGCGCAAGCCUGAUCCAGCCAGGCCGCGUGAGUGAUGAAGGCCUUAGGGUUGUAAAGCUCUUUUGUCCGGGACGAUAAUGACGGUACCGGAAGAAUAAGCCCCGGCUAACUUCGUG
This 433-nucleotide ribosomal RNA is filed under the name uncultured bacterium. RNAcentral's name for it is "partial 16S ribosomal RNA". It matches the Rfam family "Bacterial small subunit ribosomal RNA", at positions 29 to 507 of the family's 1533-position model. The record is from RNAcentral.